Molecule: transfer RNA, 74 nt
Filed under: Kwoniella pini CBS 10737
Lineage: Eukaryota; Fungi; Basidiomycota; Tremellomycetes; Tremellales; Cryptococcaceae
Description: tRNA-Val (TAC) (tRNA-Val-TAC-1-1)
Rfam family: tRNA
About the family: Transfer RNA (tRNA) molecules are approximately 80 nucleotides in length. Their secondary structure includes four short double-helical elements and three loops (D, anti-codon, and T loops).
Source: RNAcentral
GGCCGGAUGGUGUAGUUGGUUAUCACGUUUCCUUUACACGGAAAAGGUCGGGGGUUCGAACCCCCCUCUAGUCA